Molecule: ribosomal RNA, 468 nt
Filed under: uncultured bacterium
Lineage: Bacteria
Description: partial 16S ribosomal RNA
Rfam family: Bacterial small subunit ribosomal RNA
Source: RNAcentral
GACGAACGCUGGCGGCGUGCUUAACACAUGCAAGUCGAACGGAAAGGCCCUGCUUUUGUGGGGUGCUCGAGUGGCGAACGGGUGAGUAACACGUGAGUAACCUGCCCUUGACUUUGGGAUAACUUCAGGAAACUGGGGCUAAUACCGGAUAGGAGCUCCUGCUGCAUGGUGGGGGUUGGAAAGUUUCGGCGGUUGGGGAUGGACUCGCGGCUUAUCAGCUUGUUGGUGGGGUAGUGGCUUACCAAGGCUUUGACGGGUAGCCGGCCUGAGAGGGUGACCGGACACAUUGGGACUGGGAUACGGCACAGACUCAUACGGGAGGCAGCAGUGGGGAAUAUUGCACAAUGGGCGGAAGCCUGAUGCAGCAACGCCGCGUGCGGGAUGACGGCCUUCGGGUUGUAAACCGCUUUCGCCUGUGACGAAGCGUGAGUGACGGUAAUGGGUAAAGAAGCACCGGCUAACUACGUG